RNAcentral lists this ribosomal RNA (1215 nucleotides) under Neivamyrmex nigrescens. RNAcentral describes it as "eukaryotic LSU rRNA". It matches the Rfam family "Eukaryotic large subunit ribosomal RNA", at positions 54 to 944 of the family's 3401-position model. Lineage: Eukaryota; Metazoa; Arthropoda; Insecta; Hymenoptera; Formicidae. The record is from RNAcentral.
AGGAAAAGAAACUAACCAGGAUUUCCUCAGUAGCUGCGAGCGAACAGGAAAGAGCCCAGCACCGAAUCCCGCGGUUCCGCCGCAGGGAAAUGUGGUGUUCGGGAGGAUCCGCUUAUCCCUUGGCGUCGCGCCGCGUCCAAGUCCAUCUUGAAUGGGGCCACUCACCCGUAGAGGGUGCCAGGCCCGUAGCGACCGACGCGCGCCUCGGGAGGAUCUCUCCUUAGAGUCGGGUUGCUUGAGAGUGCAGCUCUAAGCGGGUGGUAAACUCCAUCUAAGGCUAAAUACGACCACGAGACCGAUAGCGAACAAGUACCGUGAGGGAAAGUUGAAAAGAACUUUGAAGAGAGAGUUCAAGAGUACGUGAAACCGUUCAGGGGUAAACCUGAGAAACCCGAAAGAUCGAACGGGGAGAUUCAUCGUCAGCGGCGCUGGCUUCGCGUCGGUGGGCGAUGUCCCGCGGUGCCGCCUCGUCGCGGCUCCCGCGCGGGCACGCUACCGUGCGCCGAUGUCCGGCGAGCGUCGUCGUGCACUUCUCCCCUAGUAGGACGUCGCGACCCGCUGGGUGUCGGUCUACGGCACGGGGCUGAGGUGUCUGUCGCGCCUGCACGUCAAACUGCGCGCGCGGCAAACUCCCGGUAAGCCCGGCCGACUGCCCGGCGGUAUACGAAACGGUAUCAGGCCGCGCCUCGCGCGCGUCGAGCCCGUCGCAAGCGAGCGCCACGGUACCCGGAGGCACGGACCCAGCGCCGUCCCCGGUCCUGGCCCGCUGCUGGCUGGUACGGUGUUACCUUCGACUGGCCCGAGACACCCCCCGCGUCCCGGUAACACGGGCCGCGCGGGGCAUACCGGUCGGCGACGCUACUGCUUUGGGUACUCUCAGGACCCGUCUUGAAACACGGACCAAGGAGUCUAACAUGUACGCGAGUCAUUGGGAUCGUAGCGAUACCUAAAGGCGCAAUGAAAGUGAAGGUCGACCCUGGCCGCCGACCCAGGGAGGAUGGGCCGCGUCGCGAUGCGGCUCCGCACUCCCGGGGCGUCUCGCUCUCAUCGCGAGAAGAGGCGCACCCAGAGCGUACACGUUGGGACCCGAAAGAUGGUGAACUAUGCCUGGUCAGGACGAAGUCAGGGGAAACCCUGAUGGAGGUCCGUAGCGAUUCUGACGUGCAAAUCGAUCGUCGGAACUGGGUAUAGGGGCGAAAGACUAAUCGAACCAUC